This 2952-nucleotide long non-coding RNA is filed under the name Dermacentor andersoni. RNAcentral's name for it is "uncharacterized LOC126542778". Lineage: Eukaryota; Metazoa; Arthropoda; Arachnida; Ixodida; Ixodidae. The record is from RNAcentral.
AUUAGCAGUAGCAUGGCGCUCGUUGGCCAUACCUGGCCCUUGCGCUAUUAAACGUCAAACAUUUAUUCAUUCACUUCAACAGUUCUCAUUUUAUGGCUUGCAUUGCCAUUCUAUAUUAUUAUCACAGGGUGUCUACCAACCGGGAAAAUCGGGAAUUCUCAGGGAUUUUGAAUAGUCUAGAAGUACUCAAGGAAUUUGUGCUUCUAUCAGGGAAAAUUAGCUGUAAUUUAAUUGAAAGGGAACGAAAGUCGCGGUAAUGCUGGCUCGAGUCACACAGAGGAAUCGUAAUGAAUCGUUUUUGACGCCCCGUCGUCGGCUGGCGGAGUUCCUGCUUACAGUCAACGACCGACUUUCCGGACGACCGAUAAUUCGGACGGUUUUGCGGCACCACCACGUGCGCCAUAGAGUCAACGUAUAAAAACGUCUGAAAUUUCAGACGCAACAACCCUUCGCCGUCCGAUUCUCCGAACUUCUUUGUCGUGACCGCAGGUCUGAAACGGCAUUAAUCAAAGCGACCGCCGCCGCCAUUUUGAUUACCUCGCCGCCUCGAACCAGCUCUCUCGCACGUAGAUCCGUUGGUACUAACGCUGCAACGCUAGGCUUAGCUGCUUCGACGCUAGCUAUUAAGCUUCUUGUCGUUCUGUGCCGUUUUUUUCAUUGAACGAAUUCGCCGCUGUCAGCAAUGGCACCGAAUCCGCCUUUGUGGUCCUCGCGAUUGGCUUCGAAGCUCGGAAAGCUCGGUGCGUUGCAUAAUGCUAGUUCCCGAAAGUCAGCUUCGCCUCAAUAAAGCAAUGUUACGCUGUGAAGCAAACGCAAAAGUAUUGCGGUGAAGCAUCAGAGUAUGAAGGGACAAUUGUCACGGGACACAGUACGUAUUCCUCAAUUAUACACGCGUGCACCCGCCAUCUCCUGUCACAGUACGAGCACCGAUAUGCCUAAUAAGUGUACUGGCAGGCCUUCGGAGCUGUUUCGUAUGUCCCUGUGGGGACUUGCGCCCUUAAGGGCAAUAAAAGACAUGCAUUCAUUUUUUUCGAACAGCCCGAUUUUUCGAACGUUUUCGAGGCCCCUAGGGAGUACAAAAAAAUGGGACGUUGACUGUACAAAUGACCAAGAGGAUGCCUCAAAUUGUCCGUGGGGUGAACGCGCGGCGCAAGGAGGACGAGAACGGAAAGGACCUACGCAUUUAUGAAUAAAUAGCAAAGGAAGCAUGCCGCCGCUUCUUUGAAGGAGCUUGAUUUCAAAAAACAAAGUGUUGCCUGAAGCCGAGAUGCAGGUGUCCCUCUAUCAAACUCUUUAAAGGAGUGAAACGCAAUAACGAGGCGUUGUGUGUAGGCUAAGCGUAUAUUAGGGCACAUCGUUCUCUAGGUGACCUUGCUACCUUGCUUCAGCAUAUGUCAGGAUAGUUGACGUUGACUUACCAGCUGUUGAGAGAGGAUCUCACUUGUGACAAAACUUGCUCUUUAUGCCAUUGAGCUUGUUAUUAGUUGUUACAAAUAGCCUAUGUUCGAAAAUAUUUGCUUCUGUAUGCAUAUUCAUUUUAUUAGUAUUUGAGAAUGUUCGACUCGAUUCGCAGUGGGUUUUACCAUUUUUCUUUUUCGCAGAUAUUUUGUUAGCUGUGCAUUUUACUAACCAUUCUGUUUUCUUUUUGAAUAAAAUAAACACUACUCCUUAGUAUUCAAACUGGAUUAAGUGGUUUUUUUUUUUUAUUUUUGAACAUGCUCACUAGAGAGUAUAAGCUUUGGGCGACAUGGUGUCAGCCCGUCUUGACAUAAAACAAAGUUCUACGUCACUCAGGGAAUUUCGCAAAGACACUCAGGGAAAACCUGGAAAACUCAGGGAAUUGAGAAAUGUCAACUAGGUAGACACCCUGGUAUAUCACCUACGUUAAUGUAAAUAUUUGGUAGCGACAUCUUGCGACGCUUUGUCUGACCACACCGCAUUAGAAAUGUUUUUGUUACAUGCGUGUUCUCGUCGAAUGAAAAAUAUGCAGACUUAAUGUUAACGUUUACGUCGCGGCCGACAACCUAUACACCAGCAGCAAGUAGAACAUGGUUGGUUACCGAAAUAAUAGCCGUUUCCUCUGUGGUUAAACUCUGCGUCACAAGAUGGUGCCACCUACUUGGCCGCUCGCGCCACCGUCUCCACAACCAGGCAUUCCGUGAACUGCAAUACGUUUACAGACAGACCAAAACUUUCUUAUAUCUGCGUCCUCCUUGGUUAAAGUCUGCGUCACUUGAUCGCGCCAACAACCCUGCCGAUUGCGUUAAAGGGCAACUCCGGCGUUUUCUUAACCAUAUUAGGAUAAUAAACAGCUUUAGUUUAGCGCGGAAUAGCGGGGUCGAAAUGCGCAUGCGCAGAACGCUAAACGACCAGUACUGUUUAGCGUUUAGCGUACGCGCGCUAUUUCUCCGAUUUUACGCUACCGUCUUUGCGUGGUUUACGUUGCUAUCACGUGGUGCAAGAUGACGACAAAUGUUCAACUGCGCCGUUGCGAAGCCAACUUUACGGGCGUGAUGCCGACUCGUCGUUUCCGUCAAUGCCACCGACAUUGCAAUCAGCGGAACAUCGAACGUGUGCUGCAUUCAUCGGCUCCGUGUUUCAGGUACAGUAUCGGACGAUAUUAAGUCAAGGACCUUGGUGAAAUGAUACGAAACACAUCAUAUUGACACUUGUACUCCAGUAUGACUGGGUGCAGCGCACCAUACUGCACAAACCACACGUAAAGUGGCAAAGCCUUUUACGCGGUGUAGUGCGCAGGGAUAGACGUGCGCCGGCGACUAGUAUGGGUACUGCGUGUGGGCCGAGACCAGCCGGCUCCGAAAGGGACCACGAUAGGCGAGGUGCGUUCACCUUGUUUACAGAGGCGCCACGAACCAGCACUCGUGCCCGGCUUCCAGCAGCCAUCGGUCAUCCAUUCUCUUGUACGAAAUAAAUUUGAUCUAGAAGCUCGUG